RNAcentral lists this ribosomal RNA (538 nucleotides) under Lacticaseibacillus paracasei. RNAcentral's name for it is "partial 23S ribosomal RNA". It matches the Rfam family "Bacterial large subunit ribosomal RNA", at positions 1 to 546 of the family's 2925-position model. Lineage: Bacteria; Bacillati; Bacillota; Bacilli; Lactobacillales; Lactobacillaceae. The record is from RNAcentral.
GGUUAAGUUAAUAAGGGCGCACGGUGGAUGCCUUGGCACUAGAAGCCGAAGAAGGACGUGACAAACGACGAAAUGCUUUGGGGAGCUGUAAGUAAGCGCUGAUCCAGAGAUGUCCGAAUGGGGGAACCCACUAACUAAUGGUUAGUAUCCAUAACUGUUAAGGUUAUGAGAAGGAAGACGCAGUGAACUGAAACAUCUAAGUAGCUGCAGGAAGAGAAAGCAAACGCGAUUGCCUUAGUAGCGGCGAGCGAAACGGCAGGAGGGCAAACCGAAGUGUUUACACUUCGGGGUUGUAGGACUGCGACGUGGGACUUUAAAAGGAUAGAAGAAUUACCUGGGAAGGUAAGCCAAAGAGAGUAAAAGCCUCGUAUUUAAAAUUCUUUUGAGCCCUAGCAGUAUCCUGAGUACGGCGAGACACGUGAAAUCUCGUUGGAAUCUGGGAGGACCAUCUCCCAACCCUAAAUACUCUCUAGUGACCGAUAGUGAACCAGUACCGUGAGGGAAAGGUGAAAAGCACCCCGGGAGGGGAGUGAAAUAG